GGCUCAUCAAAUUACCAUUUCUAGGAGGCAAGGUUUCGGAUUUGUUUCUCUUAUGUAACAUCAUAAACCAUUGACGAAUCCAAAAACAAAAAUCAAGGGCAGUAACAAUAAUUAAUUAACCCUUAUUAAUUAUUCAAAGCAGGUGAGUUGCACUAAUUGUGUUUGAUGGUGAAAGUCCAUAAGCCACAAAUGCAAAGCUCUGCAAUUUUUUAACCAAUUCGGUAAGGAAACUAACGCAUACCCGCGUUUUGACAGAAUUAAAGGACCAGA
Molecule: unclassified non-coding RNA, 270 nt
Filed under: Hevea brasiliensis (rubber tree)
Lineage: Eukaryota; Viridiplantae; Streptophyta; Magnoliopsida; Malpighiales; Euphorbiaceae
Source: RNAcentral